AGCAGCCUUUCAAGGUACAAGACUGAGUGACCCGUAAGAGAGACCUAAGCCUGCCAAAUCCUAGGCAGGCACCGAGGAGUUACUUUUGGUCGUGGAGAAGGCCUAAUUGUUGUUGCUGUCAGAAGUCCAUCUACCGAUCUGUUAGGACCUCCACAACGCUGAAUAGAUCCAUCCUUUCAUCUCUGUUAACUGGAACAGCUCUCGAAGGUCCUUCUACAAAAGUUGGUAUCUUUUCCAACCACCUAGUGCCUGGGAAUAUAGAAGACAACAGGACUGUUCAGAGGAUGUGGUCUCAUGGAACCUGCUA
Molecule: long non-coding RNA, 307 nt
Filed under: Rattus norvegicus (Norway rat)
Lineage: Eukaryota; Metazoa; Chordata; Mammalia; Rodentia; Muridae
Description: long non-coding RNA NONRATT031973
Source: RNAcentral